This 505-nucleotide long non-coding RNA is filed under the name Sorghum bicolor (sorghum). Its description in RNAcentral is "long non-coding RNA (SBIC_LNC001649)". Lineage: Eukaryota; Viridiplantae; Streptophyta; Magnoliopsida; Poales; Poaceae. The record is from RNAcentral.
GUGGGAGCUAGUAUUUUUGGCUCCUCUUUCCUCGCUUGUCUCACCGUGUUUUAAAAGGUAUAUAUAUUUGGUGUUUUUUUCAGAAUUUUUGGGGAGACAACUAUACCCCCAUGCACAUACCGCCCCCUGCUAGAUAACCGAACGAGGUCUUAAUUUGUUAGGGCAUGCAAUGCAAGGCAGGCGUCCUUUAGAAAGCUCGUCGGUCGUUGGUUAAUGAAGCUCCAACUAUACAUUUCAAUUUCAAAGCGAGGUCAGGAGCCGACAAAUUGUCAAGGUAUGAUCAUGCAGAUAUGCCGUUGCGCUCAGAUGGGAAUCUCAAUUUUUUUUCUCAGGCUAAUGCCGUGAUAGUAUGUGCCGAAUAAAACGCCACUACACCGACUGACUCGACCCCUGUUGUGUUACAGAAGCAAAAGAGUUACAUCGUACUAUCAGAAAGAUACGACGACGCACAGUUUUGGACGCAAGGGGGGCGGGGCGGGUACUACGGUACGCUGAUUCAGACGGC